Molecule: ribosomal RNA, 435 nt
Filed under: uncultured bacterium
Lineage: Bacteria
Description: partial 16S ribosomal RNA
Rfam family: Bacterial small subunit ribosomal RNA
Source: RNAcentral
GAUGAACGCUGGCGGUAUGCUUAACACAUGCAAGUCGAACGGACUCUUCGGAGUUAGUGGCGGACGGGUGAGUAACGCGUGAGAAUCUGGCUUUGGGUUCGGGACAACCACUGGAAACGGUGGCUAAUACCGGAUGUGCCGAGAGGUAAAAGAGAAAUUGCCUGAAGAUGAGCUCGCGUCUGAUUAGCUAGUUGGUGAGGUAAAGGCUCACCAAGGCAGCGAUCAGUAGCUGGUCUGAGAGGAUGACCAGCCACACUGGGACUGAGACACGGCCCAGACUCCUACGGGAGGCAGGAGUGGGGAAUUGUCCGCAAUGGGCGAAAGCGUGACGGAGCAAUACCGCGUGAGGGAAGAAGGCUCUUGGGUUGUAAACCUCUUUUCUUAGGGAAGAACAAAAUGACGGUACCUAAGGAAUCAGCAUCGGCUAACUCCGUG